ACUCAAAGGAAUUGACGGGGGCCCGCACAAGCGGCGGAGCAUGUGGCUUAAUUCGAUGCAACGCGAAGAACCUUACCUAGGCUUGACAUGCACGUUAAAGCGGGUGAAAGCCCGUGUCCUUCGGGGGCGUGCACAGGUGCUGCAUGGCUGUCGUCAGCUCGUGCCGUGAGGUGUUGGCUUAAGUGCCGCAACGAGCGCAACCCCUGCUCUUAGUUGCCAGCGGGUAAUGCCGGGGACUCUAAGAGGACUGCCGGGGACAACUCGGAGGAAGGUGGGGAUGACGUCAAGUCAGCAUGGCCCUUAUGCCUAGGGCUGCACACAUGCUACAUUCCGCGCUACAGAGGGCUGCGAUCCCGCGAGGGGGAGCGAAUCCCAAAAAGGCGCGGCAGGUUCGGAUUGGAGUCUGCAACUCGACUCCAUGAAGGCGGAGUCGCUAGUAAUCGCAGAUCAGCAAUGCUGCGGUGAAUACGUUCCCGGGCCUUGUACACACCGCCCGU
RNAcentral lists this ribosomal RNA (497 nucleotides) under uncultured bacterium. RNAcentral's name for it is "partial 16S ribosomal RNA". It matches the Rfam family "Bacterial small subunit ribosomal RNA", at positions 899 to 1397 of the family's 1533-position model. The record is from RNAcentral.